CAAUCACCCAGGACCACAAAAUAUGUGGAAAAGCCUUUUGCCAAAUCCACUUGACAAAGGAGUCAAAGGACCCUAAGGUGAGAAAGCGAAGAUAGAGGCUCAAACAGGAAUCAUCCCUUUGACUACCUGUCCAGCUAUUUUCAGCAAUGACUAGUGAUUGAGCACGAACCAAGCCCACAGAAGUCUGUUCUGAAUCAGACCCUCUUGAAGGGUUUCCUUGAAGCUCUCUGACUCAACCCACGGCCUGGUCACCACCGCCACAGCUCAGAUUUAAUGCCUGAGCCCCCCAGACUUUUAGAUCAUUGGGUAAUGAAUUGCAGCUAAGGACAACUAUUGAAGUCAUCAAAUUAUAUAACAAUCAAAGUUAUGAAAUUGUAUAAAGUUAUGUUGCCGUUUAA
Molecule: long non-coding RNA, 398 nt
Organism: Anguilla rostrata (American eel)
Lineage: Eukaryota; Metazoa; Chordata; Actinopteri; Anguilliformes; Anguillidae
Exons: 3
Source: RefSeq, a predicted model, not a curated record